Olea europaea var. sylvestris is the source of this 4949-nucleotide RNA transcript. It is a transcript of the gene named ENHANCER OF AG-4 protein 2-like, with no coding region annotated. The transcript is spliced from 10 exons. The record is from RefSeq and is a predicted model, not a curated record. NCBI's taxonomy places the organism in Eukaryota, Viridiplantae, Streptophyta, Magnoliopsida, Lamiales, Oleaceae.
UCUAAUUCUUUGCUCAGUUCUUCUAUUCUUUCCUCAGUUCUUCUAUUCUUUCCUUCUAUCUUAUUCUCUUUGAUCAUUCCACAUCAGGUCAAAAGGUUGAAAUGUAUGUUGAUAAGGUUUGGAAAUUCUUAUUUGGUACGGUUGUUUCUGGUAGAAAUUUAGAAAUUUGAUAUGUUUCUAUUUUCUUGCAAAUAUGUAAUGACUUGUGGUUUACUUGUUUGGUAAACCAUAUAUGAUUAUACGACAUUGACAGAGAUAUGAAAGUGCAUUGUAGCUGAGAAUUUGAUUGCGAACCUUGGAAAUGAUCCGUUUUGUCUAGAAAUUAUUUCCUUAUUUUCUUGGUAUUAUUGUUUGUGCACUUCAAUAUGUCUUCUUAUAUUGUUGACAUAGUUUCUGGUACAAAUUCAAAGAGGGUUUUGUGUGGUAAGUUCGAAGUUUCCCUUUUUGCAACAGAGCUUUUGUUGCACCUGCAGAUAUUCAGGCAUUCACCCGUGAGGCAAAAGAUAAAGUGUCUGCUCGAUGCCAGGGUAAAACAGUUAAAAUUUUCGCCCAAGCAGUGAAGGAAAUCUGUGAAGAAUUUGAAGAAUUACAGCACAAAAAGUCUAGUGGUAUAAGAGAUGAUACCAAUAAACUAAUUCUUGGGUCUGAGCUGCCUUCAGAUGAUAAAGUGGCAGAUAAUACCUUGGAGGUUAAUCUAAAAGAUAAUUUGAAAGGAUCAAAUAGCAAAAUGGAGACCAAAGGGCUGGAAAACCUGAGCUCUGAGCUAAAGCCCUGCUCACAGCAGAGACAAAAUGAGUCGGACUGUAAAGAUAUAAUGCUUGACAUUUCUAAUGAUGUAAGUCAUAGUUUGUCCCCAGUUACAUCUUCAAAAAAGAGGAAAAAGCCUUCUGCCGAUGGUAUUAAUAUUGUGAAGGAGUCAGGACCGACAUCUAGCUGUCAUUCCAUACUGAAAGAGGAAGGUUCUUGUGAUUACAAGUUAAGGAAGAGACAUCAUAAUAUGAUCCAGACUGAAUUGAAAAAUGAUCACAAACCAAAGCUAGCAGUGGGUUCAAAGAGGAAACCUGAGGGUGCAAAUGUAGUGCUUAGAGGUUCGGCAGUUUCAGCAGCACGUAAUGACUCUGUUUAUCAUGUUGAUUUAUCUUUUGAGAAACCUGAAGGUGAGACGCAAAAACAAAAUUCUUCAGGAAACAUGGACUCAUCUAUAGAUAAUUUGAGGUCUAGUUUAGAUGUUGAUAGUGUAAGGGCAGAAAAUAAAUUGCUGAAAGACAAAACGUAUUUUGAGGCUUCAGAUGAUUUUCAAACAAAUAUCAAAGUCAAUUGUGAGGAGAAAAAUGAGUUUUCCCAGGGGAAUAUGAGGCGUGGCUGUGAAAAUCAAGCCUUUCAGAGAAAUGAAGUCUCCUAUCCCUACAAAAGAUCAAAAUGUUCAGCUACUGCAGAUGAUGCAACCAUGAUAGAAGUCCAAACAAGCAGAAAAAAUGAUUCUAAAAGUCCUAAUGUUCUUGAUGACAUCGAUAAUACAGAGGUUAAAAGAACACCAGGAGUGAAGGCUGAGAAUGGCUUCUUCAGAGUGCAGACAAUUUCUAAUGAGCCCAAUGCUUCUGUAGAUGAAGAUGAUCUUCCCCCAACAAACUGUCGUCAACGUGCAUUGCAGGCUGAAAAUAGAUUGGGAGGUUCUGGUGCUCGUGAAAAAUAUUUAUUGCAAUGUGAUAAAGUUCGUUCACCGGCUAAGCAGUUGCCAAAAAAGCGGAGAGCUGUUCGCCUUUGUGAUGAAGAUGAUGAUUGUGAAUUGCCAAAAACUCCACUUCAUGGAGGAUUUGCCAAUAAGGUUUCUGUUCUUCCACCUGUGCAAGAUUCUACAAGGAAAACUUCUUUGCAUGGUAAGAAUUUUGUCCAAGAACAAAUAGGCUUGACCACAUCUGGCACAGCUGAGGGUGGCUCAAAGGAACAUGUAUUACCUACUCUAACAUCCAAUAAAGCUUCACCAGCAACUGCUAAGCAGGGCAUGGCAAAGAGUAGUGAAAUUUCAGCUGCACAGUUAUCUUCUAGUCCUGAACAGUUAUAUUCUGGGAAGUUAUCAACCAGGGUGGUUAAAGCAGUUUUAGUUUCCCCUAAAAGGCCCCUGCAGUCUAAUGCUGAUAACAAAUUUUUAGCUGAACUAAAGAACAAGCACUUCAGCAAAGCACCUGGUAAUUUUGCUCAGAAGAAAGCUCCAGCAGGAUCCAACAGUGGCCCUGUUGCAGCUUCUGAUAGGUUAAAUUCAUCUAUCAAUAAAUCAACAAAUGAACUGAACAAACCCACUUCUUCUGGAGACAGAAGGAAGAAUGCUCCAAAAUCAGAUUCAUGGAUCAAUGAUUCUGUUGUGAUGGGUAGUCAAAUUGAAAGUAUUGCCUCACUUGGUGAUAGGCCGGAUGUUGUUAAAGAUGACAAAGAGAGUUUUCCAAUUGAUUCGAAGUCUAUGAAACAUCUUAUUGCUGCUGCUGCGCGGGCAAGAAAGAGACAAUCUCACUUUCAAAAUUGGCAUGGAAAUCCUCUUCCUCUUUUGGUUCCAAAUGCUGACAUUCCUGGAAGGAGUCCAAGCCUUGAACCUGUCGCCCAAGCGUUUGAAUCCAGGAGUGUGCCCCGAUUGGAUGUACAAAUAUUACAUCCCCAAUCAUCUUUAUCCUCUUCUUCAUCUGAUGUUCGCAAAUCUUCAUCCACCAAUCAACAUGAGAAUGAAGAAUUUGAGGAGAGGAUAGUGAAUUCAGGUAAACGGACUGCUGGAGGUUCUCUAAGUGGGGGUACAGAGGCAGCUGUUGCUCGUGAUGCAUUUGAAGGAAUGAUAGAAACAUUGUCAAGGACCAAAGAGAGCAUUGGGCGUGCAACUCGUCUCGCAAUUGAUUGUGCUAAGUUUGGGAUUGCCAAUGAGGUUGUGGAACUUCUUAUCCAGAAGUUGGAAAGUGAACCAAGUUUUCAUCGCAGAGUGGACCUGUUUUUUCUAGUUGAUUCAAUAACUCAAUGCUCUCAUACCCAGAGAGGGAUUGCAGGGGCCUCGUAUAUUCCUACAAUUCAAGAAGCAUUGCCCCGUCUUAUUGGAGCUGCUGCUCCACCUGGGUCAGGUGCUAAUGAAAAUCGUCGUCAAUGUCAUAAGGUCUUGCGUUUAUGGCUAGAGAGAAAAAUAUUGCCAGAAUCUGUUAUUCGCCACUGUAUGGAUGAAAUUGGAAUAUCAAAUGAUGAUACAUCUGCUGGAUUUUCCCUAAGGCGUCCUUCACGAGCUGAGCGGGCUAUAGAUGACCCUAUUAGAGACAUGGAAGGCAUGCUUGUGGAUGAGUAUGGGAGCAAUGCUACAUUUCAGUUACCUGGCUUUCUGUCCUCUCAUGUGUUCGAGGAAGAAGAGGAAGAAGAAGAUACCAUUCAAGCUAAUUUGUGCAAGGAAGUUGCAGAUACUUCACCAUCAGAAUGCACUCCAUCAAUUGGAGAUCCUGAAACUUAUACCGUUACUCCAAGUGACAGGCGCCCCUGCACUUUAGAGGAUGUGGAUGGCGAGCUUGAAAUGGAAGAUGUUUCUGGACAACAAAAAGAUGAAAGACAAUUGCUUUGCAAUGGGGUCUUUUCUCUCUCUUCAGCUGAGAAAAUUUCAGAUAGAUUGCUUGAGUCAACUUCAAACAAUUCUAUUGAGUCACUGCCAGAACCUGAGGGCUCCCCACCUUUGCCUUUUGAGUCUCCUCCCUCAACUCCACCUCUACCCAGUUCACCUCCACCUUGUUUGUCUUUGUCUCCACGACCACCACCACCACCGACAUCCUUGUCACAGCAGCACCUAUAUCCUCAGCGACCUGUAGAUUAUCUUCCAACAUUGCUUCCUCCACCAUCAUUUCCACCUCAGUCUGCAGUGAAGUCACAAAGUUUUCCCUCAUUUGCUUCAGCAAUAUCAACCUCUUCACCUGCAGCAGCUUAUCAACAUCCUCCUCUACCACGUGAAAUUGGUGGUAUUCCCACUGGAAGUCAAUUUGCUCAAAUGGCUGUAAAUAAUCCACAUGGGCCUCGUGUUGAUGCAUCUGUCGGAAGUGAAACAUUGGCACAGGAAUCACCUUGCUUUCCUCCAGCUGGAGUGAGCAAUGCACGGGAGCAUUCUGGUUAUAAUAUGCCAAGGCCCUUAGAUUAUGGACAGGGUGACACAUAUAUGAAUCACCAAUCUUUUCAACACGGGCAACCAUUUCCACCUAGUGGUGCUGCGUUUGCACAAAGGCCUCUCUGUCCUGAUCCUCCACCUCAACACUCACACAGUCAUUACACCUAUCCAAAACCCUCUGUCCAGGAACAUAAAUACCCGACUUACUCAUUGCCAAAUUUUUCUGGUGCACCAAGGAGGUUUGCAGUUGAUGAACAUUGGUGGAUGCAGUCAAGUGGGUUGAAUGAUGGUCGUCCAGGAAGUGGGUGGAUGGCUGGAGGCAGAUCAUUUUCAGGUCCAUCUGCGCACGCAGGUUAUUUUGGACCACCUCCUGAAAGGCCUCCUACAAGUAGCGAUAGUUUUCAUGCCUCUACCCCAAUGACACUGCCAGCUGCAACUCCAAUCUCAGGUCACGGUAUCCCUCACAUGUUGCCAUGCAGACCAGACAUACCUGCCAUCAACUGGAGGCCAGCCUGAAUUUUUCUGAAACCUACUGUAGGAAUUUCUCCCUCUCCCUCUCUCUCUCUCUCUCUGCAGACCCUUUAACAGGUGAUGGAUGAAGAAGGAUUUCUGUUAAUAUCGCUUCGGCAGAAAUGUUGAAUUAGAGCUAGAGUAACUUGACAUGGUUGUAUAAUGGAAAUUUUCUGGUCAAAUGCAUCCUGCAGGCAUAUACCGUUAAGUGUAAGCUCUUUUUACUCAAUACAGUGGUGCUUGUAAUUAUACUAAAUAUUUCCGAGAAUGAAUUUACUGAAAGCUACCGGUUCAAGUUAUGAAAAUAGCUUCUCUCCUGUUUCAUUCCCAA